RNAcentral lists this ribosomal RNA (422 nucleotides) under uncultured bacterium. RNAcentral describes it as "partial 16S ribosomal RNA". It matches the Rfam family "Bacterial small subunit ribosomal RNA", at positions 360 to 774 of the family's 1533-position model. The record is from RNAcentral.
AAUAUUGGACAAUGGGGGCAACCCUGAUCCAGCCAUGCCGCGUGUGUGAAGAAGGUCUUCGGGUUGUAAAGCACUUUCAGUUGGGAGGAAGGGCUUUAGGUUAAUACCCUGAAGUUUUGACGUUACCAACAGACUAAGCACCGGCUAACUCUGUUCCGGCAGCCGCGUUAAUAGAGAGGGUGCAAGCGUUAAUCGGAAUUACUGGGCGUAAAGCGAGCGUAGGUGGUUCAGUAAGAUGGGUGUGAAAUACCCGGGCUUAACCUGGGAACUGGUUUCAUAACUGCUGAGCUAGAGUACGGUAGGAGGUAGUGGAAUUUCCUGUGUAGCGGUGAAAUGCGUAGAUAUAGGAAGGAACACCAGUGGCGAAGGGGACUACCUGGGCUGGUACUGACACUGAGGUGCGAAAGCGUGGGGAGCAAACA